AGAGAUGUUGAGAGAUCAACCAGGAGACUGUGGGAGGAUGUGAGCUCUCUGAGAGUGGUCAUGCAUACCUCAAUGGGACAAAGUAUCUCCUCUGAGACUUCAGAAAAUCCUUUUCUUCUGGAGCCACUCUGUUCUGGAUUACCCUGAGAUUUUAAUGAGAUAAAGUCUAGAGAUGUAUAUAACUUUUCUGCAUCAUUUUGGAAUUUUAAUGAGAUGAAACGAGACCCAGAGACACCUGUUCUAGACCACUUUGGGAUCUUAAUGAGGAUGCAAACAGGUUGAAGACAAGAGCUCUCUUUAAUGGAACCUGAACAGUGCCUAACUCCUGUAGAUAUUCACUGAAUGUUAAAUAACAACAGUGAUCAUGUAAUAAUGAUGCCCAAUUCACUUGGGAGAGAAUACCAAAUAGCUUGGAAUUUUCCUGUUACUGCCAGCAUGGCCUGAGAGCAUCCUGAGAUCAUCAGGAUACUUGCCAACAAGGUCACAGUGGACUCCAUGGAGCAACUGCCCUCAGGAGGCAACAGGUUCUUUUUGAGGGGAGUCUCUCUGAUGCUUGGAAUGAAUCCUGCUGAAUCAAUGCUGAUGCUUGGAGAUCUUCAAGUCUUUUCCCUUUUUCCCAUUGCUCAUGAUGUCUAUAUAACCUCCAAACAUGCAUCCCACUCCUCUGCCGAAAGACCAUUUUUUUAUAUCUUCAGUGAUGGUCUAGGCCAGGUUAAUUGACUUUUCUUUUUUCUUAAGCCAACUAAAGUCCUCACCACAAA
This is a long non-coding RNA of Homo sapiens (human), 761 nucleotides long. Ensembl annotates it as long intergenic non-protein coding RNA 1811. Lineage: Eukaryota; Metazoa; Chordata; Mammalia; Primates; Hominidae. The record is from Ensembl.